GAUGAACGCUGGCGGCGUGCCUAAUACAUGCAAGUCGAGCGAACGGACGAGAAGCUUGCUUCUCUGAUGUUAGCGGCGGACGGGUGAGUAACACGUGGAUAACCUACCUAUAAGACUGGGAUAACUUCGGGAAACCGGAGCUAAUACCGGAUGAUAUUUUGAACCGCAUGGUUCAAAAGUGAAAGACGGUCUUGCUGUCACUUGUAGAUGGAUCCGCGCUGCAUUAGCUAGUUGGUAAGGUAACGGCUUACCAAGGCAACGAUGCAUAGCCGACCUGAGAGGGUGAUCGGCCACACUGGAACUGAGACACGGUCCAGACUCCUACGGGAGGCAGCAGUAGGGAAUCUUCCGCAAUGGGCGAAAGCCUGACGGAGCAACGCCGCGUGAGUGAUGAAGGUCUUCGGAUCGUAAAACUCUGUUAUUAGGGAAGAACAUAUGUGUAAGUAACUAUGCACAUCUUGACGGUACCUAAUCAGAAAGCCACGGCUAACUACGUG
Molecule: ribosomal RNA, 497 nt
Filed under: uncultured bacterium
Lineage: Bacteria
Description: partial 16S ribosomal RNA
Rfam family: Bacterial small subunit ribosomal RNA
Source: RNAcentral